CUGGCCAGGGAGAGCCUCAUCAACGCCGACGGCAUCAUCGAGGCGGCGUUCUGGCCGGGGAAGUACUCCGUCGAGCUCAGCUCCGCCGCCUACGCCACGUGGCAGUUCGACACGGAGGCGCUGCCCAACGACCUCGUCCGGCGGGGGCUCGCCGUGCGAAAGGACGACGGCGAGCUGGAGCUCGUCAUCAAGGACUACCCCUACGCCAACGACGGGCUCAUGGUCUGGAACUCCAUCAAGCAGUGGGCGGCGGACUAUGUGAAGAUAUACUACAAGUCGGACGAGGCCGUCGCCGGCGACGCCGAGCUGCAGGCGUUCUGGGAGGAGGUGCGCACGGUGGGGCACGGCGACAAGAAGGACGAGCCGUGGUGGCCCGUGCUCGACGGCCGGGACGCCCUCGUCGAGACGCUCACCACCAUCAUGUGGGUCACGUCGGGGCACCACUCGGCGGUGAACUUCGGGCAGUACCACUACGGCGGCUACUUCCCCAACCGCCCCACCGUGAUCCGGAAGAACAUGCCGGUGGAGGAGGGCCGGGACGACGAGAUGAAGAGGUUCCUGGACCAGCCGGAGGGGACGCUGCUGGACAUGCUCCCAACGCAGAUGCAGGCCAUCACGGUGAUGACCACGCUGGACAUCCUCUCCUCGCACUCGCCCGACGAGGAGUACAUGGGCGACCACGCCGAGCCGGC
RNAcentral lists this long non-coding RNA (692 nucleotides) under Setaria italica (foxtail millet). RNAcentral describes it as "long non-coding RNA (SITA_LNC000124)". The record is from RNAcentral. Lineage: Eukaryota; Viridiplantae; Streptophyta; Magnoliopsida; Poales; Poaceae.